RNAcentral lists this ribosomal RNA (501 nucleotides) under uncultured bacterium. Its description in RNAcentral is "partial 16S ribosomal RNA". It matches the Rfam family "Bacterial small subunit ribosomal RNA", at positions 30 to 523 of the family's 1533-position model. The record is from RNAcentral.
AUUGAACGCUGGCGGCAGGCUUAACACAUGCAAGUCGAGCGGAGAUGAGGUGCUUGCACCUUAUCUUAGCGGCGGACGGGUGAGUAAUGCUUAGGAAUCUGCCUAUUAGUGGGGGACAACAUUCCGAAAGGAAUGCUAAUACCGCAUACGUCCUACGGGAGAAAGCAGGGGAUCUUCGGACCUUGCGCUAAUAGAUGAGCCUAAGUCGGAUUAGCUAGUUGGUGGGGUAAAGGCCUGCCAAGGCGACGAUCUGUAGGGGGUCUGAGAGGAUGAUCCGCCACAAUGGGACUGAGACACGGCCCAGACUCCUCCGGGAGACAGCAGUGGGGAAUAUUGGACAAUGGGGGGAACCCUGAUCCAGCCAUGCCGCGUGUGUGAAGAAGGCCUUAUGGUUGUAAAGCACUUUAAGCGAGGAGGAGGCUACUGAGACUAAUACUCUUGGAUAGUGGACGUUACUCGCAGAAUAAGCACCGGCUAACUCUGUGCCAGCAGCCGCAGUAA